RNAcentral lists this long non-coding RNA (325 nucleotides) under Panax ginseng (ginseng). RNAcentral's name for it is "long non-coding RNA (PGIN_LNC001397)". The record is from RNAcentral. Lineage: Eukaryota; Viridiplantae; Streptophyta; Magnoliopsida; Apiales; Araliaceae.
UUUUUUAAAACCAUGGAGAUUAUAAUAUAUUGAAGUGGGUGUUGGAGUAGACCGAUCCAUAAUAUAAGUCGUGUUUUUGUCUCUUCUACAAAUAAGGUAGGAGAAUUAUUCCUUGACAUUGCAUGUUUCUUUAGCAGAAUUAAAAAAGGGAAAAGUUAUCACAACAGUUGGGAUCGAAAAUCUUGUAGAUGGAUAGAUAGAUGUGUUAGUUUUGAGCAAAACAAAAUGAGAAUGCAUGCAUCAGUUGCUUUAGAACAUGCAUGGGUAGAGAAAUUAAUUAAAUCACCAAGAGACCCUAGGGAAACCAACGUAGGAGUAGACUAUG